This 829-nucleotide long non-coding RNA is filed under the name Mustela putorius furo (domestic ferret). RNAcentral describes it as "lncRNA (ENSMPUG00000030233.1)". Lineage: Eukaryota; Metazoa; Chordata; Mammalia; Carnivora; Mustelidae. The record is from RNAcentral.
CCACCCUCCUCGAGGUGCCCAGGGCAAGUGCCUGAUGAGCUGUGCCCCAGAGGGACUCCCUCACAGCCAGAGCAAGCGUCCCCAAGAUGAUGUCCCAUGGGGCCCCGGGCUCUUAAAGAAAUACGUGGAAGAUCAGGAGCCUCUCAAACAGAGAGCCCCCAGGAGUGGCCCCAGGUGCCCAGGGCGGGACAAGGAGGAGAUAGACCCAUCCCCACCACUGCAAAGAGUAGCGCAAAGGACUAGACACCUGCUUUUGGGGGGCCCGUGCAGGGUGCAGUGGGAUCCUGUGAUGGCCCGAGAUGGGAUGAUGCUGGUCUUUGCAACCGUGAUCAAGUCAAGAUGAGGUCCUAUGAUUGGGAGGCGUCCGAAUCCAAUGACGGGCGUCCUUCUGAGAAGAAGCAAACUGGGACACAGACAUACGCAGAAGGGACACUUCUACGUGAAGAUGGAGGCAGAGACGGCAGUGAUGUAUCUAGAAACAGAGGAAGCCGGAGGGGUGCCGCCUGAAGCCAGGAGCUGGGCAUGGAGCUGGUUCCCCCUGGAACAUCGGAGGGAACGUGGUCCUGCUGACACGUCAAGUUCACACUUCCAGCCUCCAGAGCUAAGCAGCCAGACGGGCAAAACCCAGAGACACCCAAUGCUGGACUCUCAGCUCCUUCCCUGGCCUCUCUGGCUCCCUCUGGACCCUGCAGAACAUUCUGGAGCAUCUUCUCACAUCUGCAGACCCCUGCAGCCUGUCUUGUGGUUGCAAAGACACCAGGGAGAAGCUGCUCUAGUGGGUACUCGCUCUGCAAGGAGCUGGCUGCACAAGGGCUGCUCAGUAAAGUGA